CAAGGUUAUUGGCCGCCAUCUUGGACUGGGGGCAAACAUUGGGGGCUGACGUCACAAAAACAAUGGCCGAAUCGAGCUCCGCAGCUGACGAUGCAGCGAAUAUAAUCGCCGCGUAUAAUUUACCUGCGUCGUAACAAGUGUACCUAGGUGUGCAGAAGAGACCCCAAGAAGAGAGGAUGUCCUAGAAACACCUGGAGGCUUGACUCGGAGUCAGAGUUAAAAACACAGGAUAUGACAAGGCAGGAUGCAGCUAAAGCAGCUCCAAAUCGAGUUCGUUGGAGGACUGUCGUCGAUGGCCUAUGUUCCUCAUAGAACGACGGGCCGAAGUAAGUACAUGAAAAGAGUGCUCUUUCAACACUGCAUGGCAAUAUAAACAGUAUAUGCCUCAAAUUUUGAAGAAUCCUCAAUUCAAAUCCAGACUGUGGCAGCCCUACCAUGUAGCUGUUGGACUCGUAUGGGAUAACAAUAAUCAAAAGUCACGAUAUCCACGCAUGGAUUUUAUCUCAUCUUGAUUAAAUGUAGAGAAAUCAUAUACAGUCUAUUUUGUGAUAGAAACUGAAAGAGAGAGGGCUUAACAUUGUCCUUUUGAAUUUGCUAGGACAUUUUUUAUGAACUUUAGAAUACCGCUCAUGUACAUAUUUUUGUUGAAAGAUAAAGUACACUUAUUAACAUCAAAAUACUGAUUAGGCCAUUCCAAUUUUUUUUAUGUUUAGUGUCUGCGUGCGCCUUGGUUUUUGACACCCCAUGUCAGAAAAAACAAACAGAAUUGGGAGUUCGAAAAUUGAUUAUUCAGGUCAAAAUUUUUGAUUUCCA
Saccostrea cuccullata (small rock oyster) is the source of this 813-nucleotide long non-coding RNA. RefSeq lists it as uncharacterized. The transcript has 4 exons. The record is from RefSeq and is a predicted model, not a curated record. NCBI's taxonomy places the organism in Eukaryota, Metazoa, Mollusca, Bivalvia, Ostreida, Ostreidae.